RNAcentral lists this unclassified non-coding RNA (315 nucleotides) under plant metagenome. Its description in RNAcentral is "partial contains 5.8S ribosomal RNA, internal transcribed spacer 2, and large subunit ribosomal RNA". The stretch from base 1 to 105 matches the Rfam family "5.8S ribosomal RNA", at positions 50 to 154 of the family's 154-position model. The record is from RNAcentral.
GAACUGCGAUAAGUAAUGUGAAUUGCAGAAUUCAGUGAAUCAUCGAGUCUUUGAACGCACAUUGCGCCCCCUGGCAUUCCGGGGGGCAUGCCUGUCCGAGCGUCAUUGCUGCCCUUCAAGCCCGGCUUGUGUGUUGGGUCGUCGUCCCCUCCGGGGGACGGGCCCGAAAGGCAGCGGCGACACCGCGUCCGGUCCUCGAGCGUAUGGGGCUUUGUCACCCGCUCGAUAAGGACCGGCCGGGCGCCAGCCGGCGUCCCCAACCUUUUUUUCUCAGGUUGACCUCGGAUCAGGUAGGGAUACCCGCUGAACUUAAGC